This 458-nucleotide ribosomal RNA is filed under the name uncultured bacterium. Its description in RNAcentral is "partial 16S ribosomal RNA". It matches the Rfam family "Bacterial small subunit ribosomal RNA", at positions 338 to 795 of the family's 1533-position model. The record is from RNAcentral.
CCUAGGGCGGCUGCAGUGAGGAAUAUUGGUCAACGGACGAGAGUCUGAACCAGCCAAGUAGCGUGAAGGAUGACUGCCCUAUGGGUUGUAAACUUCUUUUAUAUGGGAGCAAAGUCACCCACGUGUGGGUGUUGGAGAGUACCUGAAGAAAAAGCAUCGGCUAACUCCGUGCCAGCAGCCGCGGUAAUACGGAGGAUGCGAGCGUUAUCCGGAUUUAUUGGGUUUAAAGGGUGCGUAGGCGGGUUAUCAAGUCAGCGGUAAAAUCGUGGAGCUCAACUCCAUCCAGCCGUUGAAACUGAUGAUCUUGAGUGGGCGAGAAGUAUGCGGAAUGCGUGGUGUAGCGGUGAAAUGCAUAGAUAUCACGCAGAACUCCGAUUGCGAAGGCAGCAUACCGGCGCCCGACUGACGCUGAAGCACGAAAGCGUGGGUAUCGAACAGGAUUAGAUACCCGUGUAGUC